CGGGAACGUCUGACACACGGUGCUGCAUGGCUGUCGUCAGGCUCGUGUCGUGAGAUGUUGGGUUAAGUCCCGUAACGAGCGCAACCCUUGUCCUUAGUUACCAGCACGUUAUGGUGGGCACUCUAAGGAGACUGCCGGUGCAAACCGGAGGAAGGUGGGGAUGACGUCAAGUCAUCAUGGCCCUUACGGCCUGGGCUACACACGUGCUACAAUGGUCGGUACAAAGGGUUGCCAAGCCGCGAGGUGGAGCUAAUCCCAUAAAACCGAUCGUAGUCCGGAUCGCAGUCUGCAACUCGACUGCGUGAAGUCGGAAUCGCUAGUAAUCGUGAAUCAGAAUGUCACGGUGAAUACGUUCCCGGGCCUU
RNAcentral lists this ribosomal RNA (364 nucleotides) under uncultured Pseudomonas sp. RNAcentral describes it as "bacterial SSU rRNA". It matches the Rfam family "Bacterial small subunit ribosomal RNA", at positions 1020 to 1382 of the family's 1533-position model. Lineage: Bacteria; Pseudomonadati; Pseudomonadota; Gammaproteobacteria; Pseudomonadales; Pseudomonadaceae. The record is from RNAcentral.